UUAUGAACUAAAUUACCCUCUCUCCAAAGACUAUUGUCAAAAUCGCUUAACUCACGCAUCGCCCAUCAUCGCUCGUUAUCUCGAAAUUUCUUUCUACAGCCUCAUCAUCACAAUCUCACCAUCACAGCCCCUAUUUGCACAACCUCCGUCAGCAAAAGGUUGUACAUUGUCAACAGCAUUAGGAUUCGACCUAAAGGUAUGCCUCCCUUACACUUUUACAGUAAGUUUUAAUUGAUUGGUGGAUUAUUAGUGAUAGAAAAACACAUUAUGAUAUGUAUUGGCAUGAACAAUUCAAAUAUUUUUAAAAAUUAAUGUUUGUAAAAUAUAAGCACAUUAUGUGUUCGUUAAAAUGUCUCUAAGAAAAAAAUUUCAUUUAUCUCAAUAAAUUUGCUAAACUAGUUCCUAGUAAUCCACUCUUUAAUACCAAAGCUACUUACUAGUAUGAAGUUUACAUUUAUUUCAUAAGUUUUUUUUAAAUUUUUUAAAUUUUUUUUAUUUAUGUUGGGUUUAGGCACCCAUCGCCCACAACAUGGCCGGGCACUGGGAGCCAUCGCUUGCAAAUGUUGCGGGAGAUGGGAGCCAUCGCCACCUUCGCCCGCGCCUCUUGCUGGUAUCGCCCGCGAGAAGUGGGGGCGAAGGGUGCCAUUGACUGGGCGAUGCAUGCCUUCGCCCGCAAUCAACCUUCGCCCGUACUUCCGGCCGGUAUCGCCCACGAGAAGUGCGAGCAAAGGUUUCCAUUGACCGGGCAAUGCAUGCCUUCGCCCGCACUAAGCCCACAAGAAGGGCGGGCGAUGGCAACCAUCGCCCUCGAUCAGAUUUUCUUCUACAAGUCAUAGAAAUACAUAAUUUAUUAGACUUUUUUCUAAUUUUGGGAUUCACACAAGCAAAUAUCUACUCACAUUUUAAUAAAAAUUAAUAAAGAUAUCUAUUUCUUCAAAUUUCUACAAAACCCAUAGAUAAAACUUAAUUAAUCUUACAAUCUAAAUUUCAAAAAACACUAACCUUAAUGAGCUUUUUUUUGUUUUGUUUUUGGCUUGAUUGAUUUUGUCUUCAGUGCUAAUUAAAAAUUGUUGUUUGAUGCAUAUGAAAUCGGAGUAGUUUUGUGUUUACUUGUAAGAGGGAGUUUGAGAAGUGAAAUAAGAGUAGUUUUCUAGA
This 1155-nucleotide long non-coding RNA is filed under the name Citrus sinensis (sweet orange). RNAcentral describes it as "long non-coding RNA (CSIN_LNC003271)". The record is from RNAcentral. Lineage: Eukaryota; Viridiplantae; Streptophyta; Magnoliopsida; Sapindales; Rutaceae.